RNAcentral lists this ribosomal RNA (500 nucleotides) under uncultured bacterium. RNAcentral's name for it is "partial 16S ribosomal RNA". It matches the Rfam family "Bacterial small subunit ribosomal RNA", at positions 30 to 523 of the family's 1533-position model. The record is from RNAcentral.
AUUGAACGCUGGCGGCAUGCCUUACACAUGCAAGUCGAACGGCAGCACGGGAGCAAUCCUGGUGGCGAGUGGCGAACGGGUGAGUAAAGUAUCGGAACGUGGCCAGUCGUGGGGGAUAACGUAGCGAAAGUUACGCUAAUACCGCAUACGAUCUAUGGAUGAAAGCGGGGGAUCGCAAGACCUCGCGCGAUUGGAGCGGCCGAUAUCAGAUUAGGUAGUUGGUGGGGUAAAGGCUCACCAAGCCGACGAUCUGUAGCUGGUCCGAGAGGACGACCAGCCACACUGGGACUGAGACACGGCCCAGACUCCUACGGGAGGCAGCAGUGGGGAAUUUUGGACAAUGGGCGAAAGCCUGAUCCAGCCAUGCCGCGUGCAGGAUGAAGGCCUUCGGGUUGUAAACUGCUUUUGUACGGAACGAAAAGGUUUGGGCUAAUAAGCUGAGCUCAUGACGGUACCGUAAGAAUAAGCACCGGCUAACUACGUGCCAGCCGCCGCAGUAA